This 461-nucleotide ribosomal RNA is filed under the name Phanerota fasciata. Its description in RNAcentral is "partial 16S ribosomal RNA". Lineage: Eukaryota; Metazoa; Arthropoda; Insecta; Coleoptera; Staphylinidae. The record is from RNAcentral.
GUCUACGCCUGCCCAAUGAGGAAUUGAAUGGCCGCAGUAUUUUGACUGUGCAAAGGUAGCAUAAUCAUUAGUUUUUUAAUUGAAAGCUGGAAUGAAAGGUUGGACAAGAAAAUAACUGUCUCUUUAUAAAUUUAAUARAAUUUUAUUUUUAAGUUAAAAAGCUUAAAUGUAUUUAAAAGACGAGAAGACCCUUUAGAGUUUUAUAAAUUUUGUAAUUAUUUUUUUUUAGAUUUUUAAUAAACUAAUUAUAGAAUUUAUUUUGUUGGGGUGAUGGGAAAAUUUUAUUAACUUUUUUUUUAUAAAAUCAUUUAUUUAUGAAUUAUUGAUCCUUUAAUUAAGAUUAAAAGAUUAAAUUACCUUAGGGAUAACAGCGUAAUUUUUUUGAAGAGUUCUAAUCGAUAAAAAAGUUUGCGACCUCGAUGUUGGAUUAAAAUUAAAUUUUGGUGUAGAAGCUAGAAUUU